Molecule: small RNA, 1485 nt
Filed under: Pan troglodytes (chimpanzee)
Lineage: Eukaryota; Metazoa; Chordata; Mammalia; Primates; Hominidae
Description: retained intron
Source: RNAcentral
AUCAAAUUUCUCCUAUGUUUGGCACCUCUCAGAAUCUCUCCAUUUUAUCCUCAUCCCUACUAUCCAGCUUUCUACUUGGUUAAUUUAACAUCCUACCCCUGACUAGCUCUUUGCCUUUGUGGUUCAUUCAGCAAAUUUGCCAGGCAAGGUGCUAGGUGCUGUGGAUACAUUGAUGAACAAGACCCAGCUCCUACCUUCAAAUAGGUCAUAGUUUAAUGUAAUGGAUUUCUUCUAGAAUAUGAAAACUUCGGACCUUCUCUGCAGAAAAAUGCAUGCAAACAUUUUACAUUAAUUUUCAAACAUUCACUACUUCUCUGAAAUCCAUCCAUGGACUCUAUCUAGGUCAGCAAUCCUUGGCUGAUUAAUGGGUCACCUGUGGGACAACCAUAUUCUUUCGUCAAUAGUCCCCUUCUGGAAUCAUCCCUUGGAACAUGAGAAUGGCAGAUCUAGAAACUAGUUAUUGAGAGUUUCUUUUGGACAAUAACCAUCUCUUUUGGGUGGGUCUGUUAGGGUGUUCUAGGACUAACAUAACAUUGUUCUUUCUUCUUAGCUCAACGUUGACAGUAAUGAACAAGGCUCCUAUGUAGUGGCCAUGGAAACCUUUACCAACUUAGGACCCAUUGUCGAUAUGUGCGUGGUGGACCUGGAGAGGCAGGGGCAGGGGCAGCUGGUCACUUGCUCUGGGGCUUUCAAGGAAGGUUCUUUGCGGAUCAUCCGGAAUGGAAUUGGAAUCCACGAGCAUGCCAGCAUUGACUUACCAGGCAUCAAAGGAUUAUGGCCACUGCGGUCUGACCCUAAUCGUGAGACUGAUGACACUUUGGUGCUCUCUUUUGUGGGCCAGACAAGAGUUCUCAUGUUAAAUGGAGAGGAGGUAGAAGAAACCGAACUGAUGGGUUUCGUGGAUGAUCAGCAGACUUUCUUCUGUGGCAACGUGGCUCAUCAGCAGCUUAUCCAGAUCACUUCAGCAUCGGUGAGGUUGGUCUCUCAAGAACCCAAAGCUCUGGUCAGUGAAUGGAAGGAGCCUCAGGCCAAGAACAUCAGUGUGGCCUCCUGCAAUAGCAGCCAGGUGGUGGUGGCUGUGGGCAGGGCCCUCUACUAUCUGCAGAUCCAUCCUCAGGAGCUCCGGCAGAUCAGCCACACAGAGAUGGAACAUGAAGUGGCUUGCUUGGACAUCACCCCAUUAGGAGACAGCAAUGGACUGUCCCCUCUUUGUGCCAUUGGCCUCUGGACGGACAUCUCGGCUCGUAUCUUGAAGUUGCCCUCUUUUGAACUACUGCACAAGGAGAUGCUGGGUGGAGGUAUGUGUCAUUUAGGGACCUGGGUUGGGACAGAGUCAAAAUGUGGAACAAGAACAUAAUGUCCCCCUUUCUCACAGAGAUCAUUCCUCGCUCCAUCCUGAUGACCACCUUUGAGAGUAGCCAUUACCUCCUUUGUGCCUUGGGAGAUGGAGCGCUUUUCUACUUUGGGCUCAACAUUGAGACAGGU